Molecule: ribosomal RNA, 473 nt
Filed under: Corynebacterium mucifaciens
Lineage: Bacteria; Bacillati; Actinomycetota; Actinomycetes; Mycobacteriales; Corynebacteriaceae
Description: bacterial SSU rRNA
Rfam family: Bacterial small subunit ribosomal RNA
Source: RNAcentral
GUGCUUACCAUGCAAGUCGAACGGAAAGGCCCAAGCUUGCUUGGGUACUCGAGUGGCGAACGGGUGAGUAACACGUGGGUGAUCUGCCCUGCACUUCGGGAUAAGCCUGGGAAACUGGGUCUAAUACCGGAUAGGACGAUGGUUUGGAUGCCAUUGUGGAAAGUUUUUUCGGUGUGGGAUGAGCUCGCGGCCUAUCAGCUUGUUGGUGGGGUAAUGGCCUACCAAGGCGUCGACGGGUAGCCGGCCUGAGAGGGUGUACGGCCACAUUGGGACUGAGAUACGGCCCAGACUCCUACGGGAGGCAGCAGUGGGGAAUAUUGCACAAUGGGCGCAAGCCUGAUGCAGCGACGCCGCGUGGGGGAUGACGGCCUUCGGGUUGUAAACUCCUUUCGCUAGGGACGAAGCGUUUUUGUGACGGUACCUGGAGAAGAAGCACCGGCUAACUACGUGCCAGCAGCCGCGGGUAAUACAAA